This 915-nucleotide ribosomal RNA is filed under the name uncultured marine archaeon. RNAcentral describes it as "bacterial SSU rRNA". It matches the Rfam family "Archaeal small subunit ribosomal RNA", at positions 1 to 922 of the family's 1478-position model. The record is from RNAcentral.
UUCCGGUUGAUCCUGCCGGACCUGACUGCUAUCGGAUUGAUACUAAGCCAUGCGAGUCUUUGUAGUAAUACAAGGCAGACGGCUCAGUAACACGUAGUCAACCUACCCUAUGGACGAGAAUAAUCUCGGGAAACUGAGCAUAAUUCUCGAUAGAUCAUAAUGCCUGGAAUGGUUUAUGGUUAAAAUGAUUCGUCGCCAUAGGAUGGGACUGCGGCCUAUCAGCUUGUUGGUGAGGUAAUGGCCCACCAAGGCGAUUACAGGUACGGGCUCUGAGAGGAGAAGCCCGGAGAUGGGUACUGAGACACGGACCCAGGCCCUAUGGGGCGCAGCAGGCGAGAAAACUUUGCAAUGUGCGAAAGCACGACAAGGUUAAUCCGAGUGAUUUCUGCUAAAGAAAUCUUUUGCCAGUCAUAAAACCACUGGUGAAUAAGGGGUGGGCAAGUUCUGGUGUCAGCCGCCGCGGUAAAACCAGCACCUCAAGUGGUCAGGAUGAUUAUUGGGCCUAAAGCAUCCGUAGCCGGCUUUGUUAGUUUUCGGUUAAAUCCAUGUGCUCAACACAUGGGCUGCCGAAAAUACUGCAUGGCUAGGGAGUGGGAGAGGUAGACGGUACUCAGUAGGAAGGGGUAAAAUCCUUUGAUCUAUUGAUGACCACCUGUGGCGAAGGCGGUCUACCAGAACACGUUCGACGGUGAGGGAUGAAAGCUGGGGGAGCAAACCGGAUUAGAUACCCGGGUAGUCCCAGCUGUAAACGAUGCAGACUCGAUGAUGCAUUGGCAUAAUAGCCAAUGCAGUGUCGCAGGGAAGCCGUUAAGUCUGCCGCCUGGGAAGUACGUACGCAAGUAUGAAACUUAAAGGAAUUGGCGGGGGAGCACCACAAGGGGUGAAGCCUGCGGUUCAAUUGGAGUCAACGCCGGG